GAACUAAGAUUCCUCUGAUUUAUUAUCUAAGGAGGAAAUAAUGAUCUUACGAGUUUCACCGUUUAAUUUUACAAAUGCCACCAUUGCAGGAGAGGACAUAUAUUCACGUGUACAAUACCUCGACAAUGAAGGAUACAACAACACACACACACACACUGUAGUCCAUGUCGUUUAAAGCGUAUAUGCAAUCAUAAAACAACGCACACACACCGAGUGUGUAGAAAUAGCAAUCACUCGUACAAAAUAUAAUUCACAAAACACACCAAUUUGUAGCAUAUUA
RNAcentral lists this long non-coding RNA (280 nucleotides) under Brassica napus (rape). RNAcentral's name for it is "long non-coding RNA (BNAP_LNC009117)". Lineage: Eukaryota; Viridiplantae; Streptophyta; Magnoliopsida; Brassicales; Brassicaceae. The record is from RNAcentral.